UGGGGGAUAUUGCACAAUGGGCGAAAGCCUGAUGCAGCGACGCCGCGUGGGGGAUGAAGGCCUUCGGGUUGUAAACUUCUUUUGCUCUGAACAAGGCAUGCCUUUGGGGUGUGUUGAGUGUAGGGGUUGAUUAGCGCCGGCUAACUACGUGCCAGCAGCCGCGGUAAUACGUAGGGCGCGAGCGUUGUCCGGAAUUAUUGGGCGUAAAGGGCUUGUAGGUGGCUGGUUGCGUCUGUCGUGAAAGCUCAUGGCUUAACUGUGGGUUUGCGGUGGGUACGGGCUGGCUUGAGUGCAGUAGGGGAGGCUGGAAUUCCUGGUGUAGAGGUGGAAUGCGCAGGUAUCAGGAGGAAUACCGGUGGCGAAGGCGGGUCUCUGGGCUGUUACUGACGCUGAGGAGCGAAAGCGUGGGGAGCGAAUAGG
Molecule: ribosomal RNA, 420 nt
Filed under: Fusobacteriota bacterium
Lineage: Bacteria; Fusobacteriati; Fusobacteriota
Description: Fusobacteria bacterium partial 16S ribosomal RNA
Rfam family: Bacterial small subunit ribosomal RNA
Source: RNAcentral